Molecule: long non-coding RNA, 530 nt
Filed under: Dasypus novemcinctus (nine-banded armadillo)
Lineage: Eukaryota; Metazoa; Chordata; Mammalia; Cingulata; Dasypodidae
Description: lncRNA (ENSDNOG00000051089.1)
Source: RNAcentral
UCUGGGGAUUUUUCUUUUGCGUUUUUUAAAAUCAAAAUUCAUUUUCUUCAUUUUCCCUUGUAAUGAAAAUAGAGAUUUGAAUGUCUCAAAUAUACAAAGGUUAUUUAUGCACACACAAUCCAGAAAUGCUGAGGUAAGCAUGAUGCAGGGUGGGGGCAGGAGAGGGCACGUUCUCCCAGCCACAGGAAGGGCCCCACACCGAGGCCUGCCAGGGAGCUGGCCACUAGCCAAAGGCCACAGGGGCCCAGGGGAGAGAGUCGGCCUUGCGGUGAGGUCCUGAGAGGGGCUGUGGUGGGUCAGCCCCCCCGGGGCCCUCCAAGGUGGUCUCCAUCCCAUGCAGACCCAGGCCUUGCCCUCUCCAACCCUGGGGAGCUGGGCAGGCCACCCGGGGCGCAGACCCCACUGACUGCCCAUCAUUGAAGCAAAGGCAGGAGGCUGAGUCCAGAGUUGUGCUGGUGACGGGAGAGGGGACAGGUUUGCAUCCUGAAUCCUGGCCUUUCCAUUCCUUUCUGGCCUCCUCAGCAGGAUCU